Long non-coding RNA from Mya arenaria, 1064 nucleotides. RefSeq lists it as uncharacterized. NCBI's taxonomy places the organism in Eukaryota, Metazoa, Mollusca, Bivalvia, Myida, Myidae. The record is from RefSeq and is a predicted model, not a curated record. The transcript is spliced from 5 exons.
UAAAAAUGAAGUUUUGAUGUUAGAGGAACUUAUGAGUGUAGAAGAAACUAAAGAGCUACUUAGCUCUAGCUUCAGUAACAAGGUUACAAAUCAGAAAAAAAGAAGAAUGGCACUGAAUUGCUGGAAUAAUUUCCUCUUUGGGCUUUGCCAUAAGAUCUGCAGAAGAAGUAUCAAACAAAUGGCAGAAUAUAAGAAGAAUUGCAAAGGAAGAGGUGACAAGUGAAAAGCUGCAGAGACGCGAGAGUGGUAGGGGCUUGGCAAGUCUAAAGGUUGCAUCUGAGCAAUCACAGAGGAUUGUCUCUGUUCAUGGCAAUGCGAGCUUCAGCGGCAUAACAGGAGGGACGGACACUGACGAAAAUGAUGGUUUGAGCUAUAUUGCUAACAUCCCAUCAGUGGUCCCACAGGAGGGAGAGGAGCCCUCUGAUUUCGAGCCAACAUGCCCAACUGAAGUGAAACAGGACCCCUGCACCUCGAGCUUACGGGCAACGUUUGCAGGGAGAGCUUCUGUACCAAAGCGGAAGAAACCCCUAAGCGAGGAGGUUGCCGAGUGGCAAAUUCGUUUCUUCAAAUCUCAGGUGGCAUUGUCAGAGAAGAAGCAAAAGCUGGUUGAGACACAGCAACGGGUACUAGAGAAAUAUGAGAGGCGUAUGGACAACGAGGACGUUGACUCUUUCAUAAAAAGCCAAUUUUUCAAUUAAAUUAAAUUUAAUUGUAUUGUAUUGUAAAUAGAUAAAUGAUAUAUGUAAAAAUGAAAACGAACAAAACGAACAGUUAAAGCUAUUAUUUAUUACAGCAUGAUGAUGAUGAUGAUGAUGAUGAUGAUGAUGAUGAUGAUGAUGAUGAUGUAAACUUGAUGAUGUGAACAUGAUGAUGAUGAUUAUUAUGAUUAUCUGAACAUGAUGAUGUGAGCAUGAUGAUGAUGAUGAUGAUGAUGAUGAUGAUGAUGAUGAUGAUGAUGUUGAUUAAAAGUAACUGUUAACAAUAAAAUCCCGUGUCGCUGUUCCAGUACCAACAUCAUCCUGCACAUUAUUAUCAAUGUUUUGUAUGACAUCUACAUCAUCUAC